Long non-coding RNA from Taeniopygia guttata (zebra finch), 7026 nucleotides. Lineage: Eukaryota; Metazoa; Chordata; Aves; Passeriformes; Estrildidae. The record is from Ensembl.
AAGAAGAUGCGCUCAAAUUGUAUCUGGAGAUAAAUGUCCAUGCUGUCUAGCCCUAAGCAGAAGUUUUGUUUAUCUGAUUUUCAGUUAAUUUUAUACGAUUAUUCUGUUCACUAAAACCAGGAAUAGGAGUCAAGCUGCUGGGAUUUUUAAAAAAUUUUAACACAUCUUUAUUUUCUUGACAUAUGAGUUUUCCAUAACUAGUUUCUUUUAGCUAAGCUCAUAUUUAUCUGAGAGAAAAAUCUCAGGCUAGAUCCAUCUUAAUUUAUUCUUAAGCAGCAUUCCAGAAUGAAGUCAGAAGGUGAGGAUCUAAAAAGUUAUGCUGGAAGAGACAAAAAUAGAAUAGAAAAAAGAGCAUUUCCACUUCUUUUUCCCCCAACUGUCUCUGCCUGGAACAGAGUUGGCCCAGUGAAGAAAUUUUGAAAUUUAUAUUUUUCUCUUUCCAUGCUGGAUUGUUUUUAUCACUGGAGAGCAUCUGGGCCCUGGCAGCUCCUGGUGUGCUGGAGUGUGCCAUCACUAGUCCUUACCAAGGAAUGCAGACCUAGCACUGGUGUUGCUGUCUGUCCAGGGCAGGAAGGUGUGUGCUGAAAUGGGUACUGCAGCUGCUGUGUCUGUGUUUAUAUUGUUGUUGCAUGGAUGUAGCUGACAGGGUGCUAAAGAUGCUCUUUUGAUGCUGGCUACGGCUACUGCAGAGCUGUACCCUCAUAGGAGGAAAGGUAAAACAGAGGUAAGAGACAGUGUGUCUUGGACUCUCCAGCAUCUUGUUAUGCUGAGAGAAACAAAAACUGAGGGGGAAAGCCCAGACUGACCAGGAUCAGAAAGUGCAGUCAGACCUGUGUGAGUUGGAAGCAGGGCCGUAGGUGAUCUAGGGCAUUGCCAAACUAAGCCCUGCAUGUUCCAUCAAGGGAAGUGGCACCACACCUCCAGACAACCUGUCCCAGCCUUUAGCUGGUCUCACAGGAAAAGUUUGUUUUGUGCCUGGAGAGAAAAUUUGCCCAUCACAGUGAAUCCUCGUGAAGAGAGUGCCUUCAUCUCUCAAUAUCUAACACUGGAAGGCAGGAAUGGAAUCCCCCUGAGCCCUCACUUCACCAGGCUGAAUGAACCAAAUCCCUCUGGCCUUUUUUCAAGGCAUGUCAAGUUCUCCAAUCCUAUAACCAUUUUGAGGCACUUAACCCCCUCCACCCCCAAACCAGCUUGGCUGCCCCCAGUUUUUUGAUGUUCUUCUUGACUGUGGGAGUAAUACUGGGCACAAUGUCCAGAUAUGAUGUGGGAUAGUUGUAACCCUUGACAUGCUGGGUUCAGUGUCACUGAUGUAGCACAGUCAGGUACUGGUACAGUCAUUGCCAUGGGCUAUUUUUCAUCAUGAGCUUUCAAAAUGCUUUGUAAGGAUGUUUUAGGAAUAGCAUUCUGUUUUGGCUCUCCUGAGAUGUUUCAGAGUAUGCCAAAGCUUCUUCAGCCCUCCCAUCUAUAGAUCAGAAGAAUUAAGUCUUAUUUUAGCUGCCCUCUUCCUUCUGGUAUUGCAGGCAAAUACCUUACCUUCUGAAAAGUAAAGAGUAAGAGGGGUGCAUCAAUUUUACAUGUAAAUGAAAGACAAUGAAAUCUUCCAAGUUUCUCUCACGUCUACAUAUCAUGAAAGGAAUUAAACUUUUUCUAAACUGUUCUGUAAACACAACUCCAUGUUUUUCUUGAAUAUUUCCCUGAGCAACAUGACAUUGACACAACAAUAAGCCCUGAUUCAAAAAAUAUUGAUCAUUUUAUCCAAUGCUGGGCAAUUGCUUUUCCAGAUCCCUGGUGAUGGGGUUGCAUAUUCUGUGUGAGAGUGCACCGGCCUUCUUGCCCAGUUCUGUGCUUGAUGUUGAACUUUUGUCCAAGCAAGGAUCUAUGCCUGAGAUUCCUCAUUGUUAUAGUAAAAACCAUGGUACUCGGCUUCCUUUUGAUAGCAGAAAGACAUUAGUGACCUCUAUCUGAGUCUUUACACAAAAUCACAGAAUUAACUAGGUUGGAAAAGAUCUUUGAGAUCAUCAAGUCCAACCUAUGACCGAACACAACCUUGUCAACUAAACCAUGGCACUGAGUGCCACAUCCAGUCUUUUUUUAAAUAUCUCCAGGGACAGGGACUCCACCACCUCCCUAGGCAGCCCAUUCCAGUGCCCAAUCGUUGUUUCUUUCAGUGAAGAAUUUUUUUCUGAUGUCCAGAGUAAACUUCCUCUGGCACAGUUUAAGACUGUGUCCUCUUAUUCUGUCUCUGGAUGCCUGGCAGAAGAGACUGACCCCCACCUGACUACAACCUCUUGUCUGGCACUGUGGAGAGUGAUGAGGUCCCCCCUGAGCCUCUUUUUUUCCAGGCUAAACAACUCCAGUCCCUCAACUGUUCUUCACAGGACUUGUGUUCCGGACCCUUCAGCAGCCUUGCUGCCCUUGCAGGCAUUUGGCGAGAUAGCAGUGUUACAUUAGGUGACAUUUGGGAGGUCCACCAUACAUCUCUCAUUCAGGAUGCCCUGAAUUAAGCUUAAAUUGCCUGUGGCAGUUGUUUCCCCGCUGUGUUCGUGGAAAACCUUUGGUGUGGUGAUCCCUAGCCUCCAGUAUGGUCCUGCCAGGGCUUUGCUGCCUUUUCUGGGAGGCAUUUGGAUUGAGCUAUCUUCACUGCAAUUUAAUCUUAUUUACUUUCCUAUCCCAGCAGACUUACUAAACUUUUCCAUCUCCUUUCCAGCUGCUGGUUUUGAUUGUGAAGACCUUAUUGUAUCUAAUCUCACUUUUUUCUUCCCUGUCAGAACAGCCCCAGUUCUCUCCAUCCUUUUCUACACCAUGACUAGUUCCUCUUGCUGCUUUCCUCCAGGCUGCUGGUCAACACUUCCUCAAACUGGAGCAUCCAAAAUGACUCAUUUGUGCUGAUACCAGACUGGUGCCAAGUGUGGGGGAAUAUAACUUCAUAUUUUCACAUAUGUCACCACUGCACGGUGUGACCCAGGAUGAUGAUUCCCCUUCCUUAGCAACAAGUCACUGUGACACACACUGACACCUAAAUUCAACAGAACAACUGUAUACCAAGUGUUGCCUUGUUAAAUAUCUGCUGUUCUAGAAAGCCAUGUCAGGUCUGCACUUUUUCUUGUCCUUAUCAAACUACCUCCUGUUUUUCAGAUACUUUCUCCAGUUUGGCUAGAUAACUUUGAAUUCCUAGGUUGUCUCCUGUAUGCUAGAAGUCCUUCUAACCUAUCUAUCCUCUCCAAAUUUAUCAGUAGUAUAUCAGGAGCUCAGUAUCUGUUAAUGAAGAUAGAGUGUAGUACCACAGACUGGCUUCAGUGAAAUCCAUACUUAAUGCAUCCUUCUAGUUUGACAAGAAACUUACUGGCAAUGACUCUUAGAAGCAAGCUUUCUAACCAGCUCUGAACUAUCCUUAUAAUGGUGUCAUGCAGACUCAAGUCACCUCCCCCUAUAACACCCCAUAUAAGAAAUUGCUAAAGCUUUACUGUAGUCAAAGCACAUCUAUUGCUUAUGUAGAAUGAUAGUUUCCAUUUUUAUCCUCUCACAGAAGGAACCUGCAAAGGUUUGAAAUGUUAUUUCCUCAUUAAUCUUUAUUUGCCAUCACUCAUCUGCUUGGCACCUUUCCUGUAUGUACAAGUAGCCUGGUUUGUUCUUAGAGUGUUUUUGUGGGUUCUAAAGAUCAGCCAACUGGUCUGCAGUUGUCUUGCAUCUCUGUUCCUCCUUUAUUAACCCAGUCUCUCCAUUUGCCCUUGAUCAGUUUUGUGAAACCUUGGUCACUUACCCCAAAUUCUCAGGUAGUUUCUGCCAGUGGUGGAAAUACCUAUUGGGUCUUUUAUUAGAUGCAACAAGUUUGAAAAUUGUUUAUUUAUUGAAAUGGUCUUUUAAAAUAAGUUUAGGUAGCUUUCUCUUUUUUUAAGCACCCUGAAAUCUCAGUCUUUUAUUGGCUUCAUCCCUCCAGUGGAAAUAGAAAAAAAAAAAUUAGACAAAUUUGACAUUGAUAGAUUUAAGUGAUAGAAAUGUGGGAAGGAAAGGACAACCUGGUUCAGCAAGUCCUAUCUCCAGUGCCCAUAAAGUGUUACACCAUGCAGAGACUACACAAGUCCCUGCACCUAACAAGCCAAACCUCUUCAGCAUGUUGGUGCCAGGAAGAUCUUUUACCCUGGGCUGCUAACACUGAAAAAGCAGGCUGAGCUUUUGGAAAGCUGGGGAUUUACCUUCUGCUUUCCCCUCCACAGAGGAUAACGUACCUACUGCUGGCUGUAACACCAGCUGGGUGGGCAGCUUCUGCAAGGCUCCAAGCACUGCUGCAGGGCUGGCAAAAUGGGCUGAGGCUGGCAGGGCAGCCUUGGGGGAGCAGUCCCCAAGGCAGGCAGUGGCCCAAGGGGUGUGGCACCAGAGUGGGCUGUGACAGCCAAAAGGCCUCUCCCUCAGCCCUUUGUGCCAAGGCUUGGACUUGGGACCCCUCGGUGCAAAGCUUUGGCUGGUGGUGGAACAACGAGGAGAAAAAAUACAAACGAACUCCAGAAGGGAGCCUGGAGUAAUGGCAAUGUCCAUCAUUUAAACAAUGCUUUUGAUAACUUUUAUCCAGGUUCUUCUUCUCAAUUCAAAGGAAACGACACUUCAUUUCAGGGCUUUACUCUUUCCUGCAGCAAUCCAUGACUUGUCAAUAGCUGUAUGGUUUCUAGUUCUCCAAUUUUUUUAUGCAGCAUCACCCCAGAUCUGAUACCCUCAGAAAUGUCCCCAAGCUGUAAAAAUGGGCUAAUCAUCCAACGAUCUUGUGUUUCAAAUUCAGUGAAGUACUAUAAAAGCAUUCACAAAUGAUGAUCUUUAAAAAUAAGACCAGCUUCACAUGCAAUUGUUUGUUCAACCAGAGUACGAAGCAAAAAAUUUUAAAAAUGUUACAUUAUUGUUAAUUUUUUAAAUACUAGCUGUCCUUUAGUGAAUGUUAAUCUCUGACAGAUGGCUCUGUCCAUCUGGCACUACUGAAGAAUGUAAAAAUCUAUUUGAUGUGGAAAAUUUUUUUAAAUUGUGUAUUAAUUAGAAACAAUUAAAACAACUGAUCAUUUCAUCCUGGGAGAGCAUGAUGGUGCAAAAGCACCACUAAUAAAUUCCACUGCCAAGAAGUGGGAGAGAGUUUGCAGACAGAGCUCAUGGCAUGGAUCCUUUUUCUUCUUUCAUAGUUGUGAAAUAUUUCUAAGGACAAAACAUCCUGUGAACGAAGAGCAGUGUCCCUCACAGACAAAUUCACAGAGGCUUGUGCUGAAGGAAGCUGUGAUAUCAGCUUGUUCCUCAUUCUCUAGUAUGAGGAAGGGCAUCCCUUAUGGAAAGGCAGACGUGGAGAUCCUGGAUCCAAGUGUGCCUGGCUCAGUACAACACCUGAAGGGAUGUUGAUGGACAACAUUUCUGCUUCUCCCACCAGAUGAACCACUUUAUCCUCACUCUGCUUGCUGAAAAGCCUGCAGCUCUUGCCACCUGUCCCAGCAGUUUGGGGUGCUGAGGGCACUGCUGGGAGAAGGCAGUGGGGGAGACCUGAGCAUAGUCUGCAGCAUGGGAGAAGAGAAGGAGGAGGAGGAGAUGGGGGCUCUCUAGAAAGUCUGCAGCAUGGCUCAAGGAGGGAGGUGGAUCCUCAUGGAACUUUAGGCUUUAUCAGUCUUUAUCAGACUUUAUCAGUCUGGCUGAUCGUGGAGCAGUGUUUCUUGGCAGGUAUCAGCUUUAGAAAAACUUAAAAAGCAGGAGAGUCCCUGCAAUUAACACUUGCACAGAAAUAAAACAUAGAUUUUUACCAUCUUCACAGCAUGAUCCCAGUCCCAUGGUGACCUGUUUGGUGAAUACACUUGAAUUUUUUUGGGGGACCUUGACUGGUUUGCUGCAUUGCUCAGGGCAUCUGAAAAGUUAUUUGGAUGUGAUGUCAUCCUCAGAGAAUAAAGCACAUUUAGGUUAUGACAAGAUAACCACUCAUCUGUUAUAUUUUCUUUUUUUUAACAUCAUCAAGUACUCAAUCUAAAGAGAAACAUGAUUCUUAAAUUCUUCCUGAAAUAAAAACCCAAUUUUUGUAAUGUUGGUUUAGAAAAGUUCUUUCUGUCUGCAAUGGGCAAGAUGAUUAUUUUAAUUUGGACCAUUAAAGAGUUGAGUGUUGUUUUGAGCUGAAGUAAAAAUAAUAUUUCAUCCUAAAGAUCAGAACAGAUUACUCAGUAUUCCUCCAGAAAGCAGAUUUAUAUUUAGAAUGAUAAUACAUGAGGUUUUCUUAGCAGUAGUAUUUUUUUUUUCUUACAAAAAGAGUGUUCUGAAAGUAAAUCCUUUGACAAGACUGCUUUGCAUUAAAAACACGCUUUCUCUUUCAUGACUGCCAGGUCAGGUUAGCCUCUUCAAUCUAUUAAAAUGCUUAAUUUCAUUAAACAUAUAUUUCUCUGGUGGUGUUAUAAUCAUUAAGUAUCUGACACCAGAAGCAUAUUUUCUAUUAGAUUUCAAUUGUGUAAUUUUGAAGGCUGUUCAUCACUCUUUAUUUCCUUUUAAAUGCUUUAUUAUACUUCCCUAGCAGCAAGAGGUAAUAGUUCCUAAGUUCAAAGCCAAGCUUUAGUCUGCAUUGGAUGCUGGGGGAAGCCAUCAGGGUGCUGCUUUGUGAAACUAAAAGUGGCUUCUUGUAUGGUCCACAUCCAAGUUGAGAAGCUGAAAGUGGAUCCUUGGUCCAUCCUACCCUGCCUGCACGACUGUCUCUGGAGUCCUGAGUUUGCUGUGGUACUGCAAGGCUGCAGCAGCCAGUCAGGGCUACUGACAUGGGAACCAGCACCUGAAGCUCAUGCUUUUGAUACAGAAGACAGAUGAGGUUUUGCACCCUUUAAAGAGGAUCAGAAACCAGGCAUGCUAUGGGUUAAGGUGCCUUUACAAUUUACCUUCAAUAGACAUAUUGAGAAAGGUCUAGUCCCUUCCUCCAGACUGUGGUCACCCAAACCUGGGUCCUCUUUUGAGGCUAAGUGCUAACAUGUUGCCUUUCAGAACCAAACAAGUUCUUUGCAUCCUUCAAAAGAAGAAGAAAAAAAAAAAAAAAAA